This 250-nucleotide ribosomal RNA is filed under the name uncultured bacterium. RNAcentral's name for it is "partial 16S ribosomal RNA". It matches the Rfam family "Bacterial small subunit ribosomal RNA", at positions 355 to 602 of the family's 1533-position model. The record is from RNAcentral.
GGAUGAAUCUUGCGCAAUGGACGAAAGUCUGACGCAGCCACGCCGCGUGCAGGACGAAGGCCCUACGGGUCGUAAACUGCUUUUGUCAGGGAAGAAACCGCGGGAUUUGUCCCGCGCUGACGGUACCUGUCGAAUAAGCACCGGCUAACUCCGUGCCAGCAGCCGCGGUAAUACGGAGGGUGCAAGCGUUGUCCGGAAUCAUUGGGUGUAAAGGGUGCGCAGGCGGACUGCUAAGUCUGGGGUGAAAGGC